This 468-nucleotide ribosomal RNA is filed under the name uncultured bacterium. RNAcentral's name for it is "partial 16S ribosomal RNA". It matches the Rfam family "Bacterial small subunit ribosomal RNA", at positions 28 to 507 of the family's 1533-position model. The record is from RNAcentral.
GACGAACGCUGGCGGCGUGCUUAACACAUGCAAGUCGAACGGAAAGGCCCUGCUUUUGUGGGGUGCUCGAGUGGCGAACGGGUGAGUAACACGUGAGUAACCUGCCCUUGACUUUGGGAUAACUUCAGGAAACUGGGGCUAAUACCGGAUAGGAGCUCCUGCUGCAUGGUGGGGGUUGGAAAGUUUCGGCGGGUGGGGAUGGACUCGCGGCUUAUCAGCUUGUUGGUGGGGUAGUGGCUUACCAAGGCUUUGACGGGUAGCCGGCCUGGGAGGGUGACCGGCCACAUUGGGCCUGCGAUACGGCCCAGACUCGUACGGGAGGCAGCAGUGGGGAAUAUUGCACAGUGGGCGGAAGCCUGAUGCAGCAACGCCGCGUGCGGGAUGACGGCCUUCGGGUUGUGAACCGCUUUCGCCUGUGACGAAGCGUGAGUGACGGUAAUGGGUGAAGAAGCACCGGCUAACUACGUG